CGGCGGGGCGUGCGGCUCCCCCCGGCGCGGGGGGCGAAGACGCAGGACGGCGAGCCUGGCUGCUCCGGGAGCCGCGGCGAGGUCGCGCGGAUGGAGCUAUAACAACCUACACCGGGCAAACCUGACUUUCAGGUCUCUCCCACAGACGGAGACAGGGGAGCAGAUGCAACCACCCACGGACCAGCCCGCAGACACACAGCAUGCUUCACCACAGCCUGGCAAAGCGCUCGAACGGUGCCAUCAUGAGCAGUGGCUCCAGGCACCUCCGUGGGAAGGAGAAGACUGUAAUAUUGCGUCACAAACAGUAGAGCUGGACCCUUGACACGCAGACCUUUCAUCGUCUCAUUUGAAGGCUGUUCGUGUCACCACCUGCAUGUUCAGAAGCACAGAAUGUCACGAUUACCACACGAAGUGUCAGGAUAAUUGCAUGUUACAUACCUGCCCAGGGUGUAAUCCCAACCUACGAACAUGAAGGCUUGUAGUGAGUUUGUUUGGCGCCACUAAGCAUGAGAAAUCCCCAAUAAUUUGUCUCCUAUUGUGAAACCCCGUGUGCAGCCCUAAAAAUAGUCGCACCGAAACAAAGGUGAGUCGAAAGUGUCCCCGGCUGAGCCCAGACAGAGGAGAGUUGGGUAAAGCAGGGGUUUUUUACACGCUUUUCCAGAAGAAUAAAAACAACAGAAAGGAGGAAAAAAAAAAACUUCCUUUACCCCCUGGCUCUACACCCCCUGUUGAACCAGUGAAUCAAAUGUGAUGUGACUUUAAACUGCUGUGUCAUGAAGAUGUGGCUGACGCCUCACUGGAUUCAAACGACUUCCUCCAGGAACCUCUGAAUCAGGCCCGCUCGUGAGUCCCUUCUGUGGUCCUUCUGUUCAGCUGCUCGGAACUCAACGUCAGCCUCACGGCACCAUUUGACUGUGGCACUUUGCCCCUGGAGCUCAGGAAUACUAAACUGUUCUUGACCACACAUACGUGCUGGCCGUGCGAACAUGACAAGCAUACACACACACACACACACACACACACACACACAUGCAAUGAAACACCUAAACAAACACACUAAACAAAUACUUGGACACUAACAGACAUACAUAUACAAAUACUUACGCAUUCCCUCUCACACAGAGCCAUGCACAGAACCAAACUUAAGCUUGUGUCAUACACAAGCCACCUGGCUUCUGUGUUAGUGGUGGGGGAGGAGAAGGGGGUACUGGGGUCCCAGGGCCAUCUCGCGGUUAAAGCCUUCCUCCCCUCUAAUCUCUAUAGACUCUCGUAGGGGAAUUUAGGACACAUCAGGAGAGGGCUUUGUACCCUUGUGGUUGUGGUUGAGUAGAUGACCAAUCCACGCUCUAAGGAACGCUGAAACAGGUGAUGUCUGCAUGUCAACAGGUGGACUGUGGUGACUGGUCGGUCUCUGUGUAACUGCUUGAAAUAAAAAUAAAAUUGUUUGCAUAUAUAUUUUCAGGAACUCUGGCUAUAUGUUGUUUAUUAAAUUAUUGAGUCUUUCCAUGAGCUCUAACUGCUCAUUCUCUCUUUCUGUACAAAAGCUUUCCCCUUCUCCACCUUUCUCUUUUAACAUUUCCUUUAGGCAUCAGAGUUUUAGAUUUUAAAACCAGGCAGUUCAAUGGGUAGGUGUACUCUGCUAGACAAACAAGAGCUGCUCUCUAGCUCCUACCUGUGGAAUGUAAUGGAGUUGCACACACAAAGUUGAUCCCGGUCAUACUGCUAUGUUUAUGAUCUGGAGACCCGGCGCAUUGGACACUGAGUAAAAAACAAGUGAUAUAGAGGAUGUGGCCAUAUCGCACUCCUCUGGGCAUACUGAGAAAACC
This is a long non-coding RNA of Anguilla anguilla (European eel), 1826 nucleotides long. RefSeq lists it as uncharacterized. The transcript is spliced from 3 exons. The record is from RefSeq and is a predicted model, not a curated record. Lineage: Eukaryota; Metazoa; Chordata; Actinopteri; Anguilliformes; Anguillidae.